RNAcentral lists this ribosomal RNA (428 nucleotides) under uncultured bacterium. RNAcentral describes it as "bacterial SSU rRNA". It matches the Rfam family "Bacterial small subunit ribosomal RNA", at positions 64 to 524 of the family's 1533-position model. The record is from RNAcentral.
GAACGAGAAAGUGGAGCAAUACAUGAGUACAGUGGCGUACGGGUGAGUAACACGUGACUAACCUACCCUCGAGUGGGGAAUAACUUCGGGAAACCGAGGCUAAUACCGCAUAAUGUCUACGGACCAAAUGCGUAAGCAGCUUGAGGAGGGGGUCGCGGCUGAUUAGCUUGUUGGCGGGGUAACGGCCCACCAAGGCAAUGAUCAGUAGCCGGCCUGAGAGGGCGCACGGCCACACUGGAACUGAAACACGGUCCAGACUCCUACGGGAGGCAGCAGUGGGGAAUUUUGCGCAAUGGGGGAAACCCUGACGCAGCAACGCCGCGUGGAGGAUGAAGCCCCUUGGGGUGUAAACUCCUUUCGAUCGGGACGAUUAUGACGGUACCGGAUGAAGAAGCACCGGCUAACUCUGUGCCAGCAGCCGCGGUAAU